GACGAACGCUGGCGGCGUGCUUAACACAUGCAAGUCGAGCGGUAAGGCUCCUUCGGGAGUACACGAGCGGCGAACGGGUGAGUAACACGUGAGCAAUCUGCCCUUCACACUGGGAUAACCCCCGGAAACGGGAGCUAAUACCAGAUACGACCACUUCGGGCAUCCGAUGGUGGUGGAAAGUUCUGGCGGUCAAGGAUGGGCUCGCGGCCUAUCAGCUUGUUGGUGAGGUAAUGGCUCACCAAGGCUUCGACGGGUAGCCGGCCUGAGAGGGCGACCGGCCACACUGGGACUGAGAUACGGCCCAGACUCCUACGGGAGGCAGCAGUGGGGAAUAUUGCACAAUGGGCGAAAGCCUGAUGCAGCAACGCCGCGUGCGGGAUGACGGCCUUCGGGUUGUAAACCGCUUUCAGCAGGGACGAAGCGAAAGUGACGGUACCUGCAGAAGAAGGACCGGCCAACUACGUGCCAGCAGCCGCCGUAAUAC
RNAcentral lists this ribosomal RNA (484 nucleotides) under uncultured bacterium. RNAcentral's name for it is "bacterial SSU rRNA". It matches the Rfam family "Bacterial small subunit ribosomal RNA", at positions 28 to 526 of the family's 1533-position model. The record is from RNAcentral.